AUACGGAGGAUCCGAGCGUUAUCCGGAUUUAUUGGGUUUAAAGGGAGCGUAGGCGGGAGAUCAAGUCAGCUGUGAAAUGUAGAUGCUCAACAUCUGCACUGCAGUUGAAACUGGUUUUCUUGAGUGCGUAAGGGGCAGGCGGAAUUCGUCGUGUAGCGGUGAAAUGCUUAGAUAUGACGAAGAACUCCGAUCGCGAAGGCAGCCUGGCGGGCCGCGACUGACGCUGAAGCUCGAAGGUGCGGGUAUCGAACAGGAUUAGAUACCCUGGUAGUCCGCACAGUAAACGAUGGAUACUCGCUGUCGGCGAUAUACGGUCGGUGGCCAAGCGAAAGCGUUAAGUAUCCCACCUGGGGAGUACGCCGGCAACGGUGAAACUCAAAUGAAUUGACGGGG
RNAcentral lists this ribosomal RNA (393 nucleotides) under uncultured bacterium. RNAcentral describes it as "partial 16S ribosomal RNA". It matches the Rfam family "Bacterial small subunit ribosomal RNA", at positions 523 to 918 of the family's 1533-position model. The record is from RNAcentral.